UGUGACAUGAGGAGAGUGAAUAUCAGUUUGUUCACAAUAUCCUGCUAUCCGAGCAAAUGUUUCUUGCUUUUUCGGGUACCCGGAGAUUGUGAUCCUUCCUUCAACAUAUCCACCAGUUUUUCUACCAGCCAAAACGUCCAUCAGGGUUGUCUUGCCAGCUCCACUGACACCCAUGAGAGCUGUAAGAACUCCCGGUCGAAAAGCACCCGUUACUCCUUUCAGAAGUUCUAAUCGUUCUUCAGAUCUCUCAGCCAAGGUUUCUUCAGAUAGAAUUGCCUGAGGCUUGCCAAAUGCUGCAUCAAACCAACCCAUUUAUUAGUCCAUGUUGAAUUCCAGCCUAUGACAUAGUAAGUGAGGAAAACCCAUAUACCAACUUCUACAACUGUGAUUGGCAACUUGAGGAUCCAUGUUGGUAAAGAGUAUGCCCAAGCAGGGAAGAAGAGAAAGUCUCUUUGCUUGUAAAAGACGGGAAGUUUCAUGAUGCUCAAGGCAUUUAAAAGUUCCUUCUUGUUGAUGCCAUACUUCUUAGUUGUCAAAGCGGCAGGGUGGCUCUUAGCUUUGUCAAAUGUAACAGCAAGCUCGUCACCAAGUUUCCGGCCAACGUGGAAUGACUGAAAUGCUUCUGCAAAUUCCUUGACGGUUACAAAAUUAUGAGGUUCGUCUUUGUUUGCCCAGUACUGAACCUGAUCUUUCUUUGAUGUCACCUAUGGUUUCACAACAAAAACAUUUGGGGAUACAAAGUUACAUUAUGUUCUAAAAAGCUUAGCAACAAGAAACUGACACAUCGUUUCUUUUGACAAAAAACAUUUUCCAAUGAAAACCAUUUUCUACAUAAAUCUUUACAAGACCUCAAUUCGGAAAACGUUUUUCA
Long non-coding RNA from Camellia sinensis, 871 nucleotides. RefSeq lists it as uncharacterized. Lineage: Eukaryota; Viridiplantae; Streptophyta; Magnoliopsida; Ericales; Theaceae. The record is from RefSeq and is a predicted model, not a curated record.